Molecule: ribosomal RNA, 406 nt
Filed under: uncultured bacterium
Lineage: Bacteria
Description: partial 16S ribosomal RNA
Rfam family: Bacterial small subunit ribosomal RNA
Source: RNAcentral
AUUGAACGCUGGCGGCAGGCCUAACACAUGCAAGUCGAACGAGUGGCGGACGGGUGAGUAAUGUCUGGGAAACUGCCUGAUGGAGGGGGCUAACUACUGUAAACGGUAGCUACUACCGCAUACCAUCGGAUGUGCCCAGAUGGGAUUAGCUAGUAGGUGGGGGAAAGGCUCACCUAGGCGACGAUCCCUAGCUGGUCUGAGAGGAUGACCAGCCACACUGGAACUGAUACACGGACCAGACGCAUACGGGAGGCAGCAGUGGGGAAUAUUGCACAAUGGGCGCAAGUCUGAUGCAGCCAUGCCGCGUGUAUGAAGAAGGCCUUCGGGUUGUAAAGUACGUUCAGCGGGGAGGCGUUACCCGCAGAAGAAGCACCGGAUAACUCCGUGCCAGCCGCCGCGGUAAUUC